Molecule: ribosomal RNA, 253 nt
Filed under: uncultured bacterium
Lineage: Bacteria
Description: partial 16S ribosomal RNA
Rfam family: Bacterial small subunit ribosomal RNA
Source: RNAcentral
GACAGAGGGUGCAAACGUUGUUCGGAAUUACUGGGCGUAAAGCGAGUGUAGGCGGUCUGCUAAGUCGGGUGUGAAAGCCCCGGGCUCAACUCGGGAAGUGCACUCGAAACUGGCAGGCUAGAGUAUCGGAGAGGUUGGUGGAAUUCUCGGUGUAGAGGUGAAAUUCGUAGAUAUCGAGAGGAACACCGGUGGCGAAGGCGGCCAACUGGACGAAUACUGACGCUGAGACUAGAAAGCGUGGGGAGCAAACCGG